This 465-nucleotide ribosomal RNA is filed under the name uncultured bacterium. RNAcentral describes it as "partial 16S ribosomal RNA". It matches the Rfam family "Bacterial small subunit ribosomal RNA", at positions 338 to 795 of the family's 1533-position model. The record is from RNAcentral.
CCUACGGGUGGCAGCAGUGGGGAAUAUUGCGCAAUGGGCGAAAGCCUGACGCAGCGACGCCGCGUGAGGGAUGAAGGUCUUCGGAUCGUAAACCUCUGUCAGCAGGGAAGAACGGUCACUGUGCUAAUCAGCAGUGAAUUGACGGUACCUGCAAAGGAAGCACCGGCUAACUCCGUGCCAGCAGCCGCGGUAAUACGUAGGGGGCAAGCGUUAUCCGGAUUUACUGGGUGUAAUGGGGGCGUAGACGGCGGGGCAAGCCUGGAGUGAAGGGUCGGGGCCCAACCCCGGUAGCGCUGUGGAAACUGCCCGGCUGGAGUGCGUGAGAGGUAAGCGGAAUUCCUGGUGUAGCGGUGAAAUGCGUAGAUAUUAGGAGGAACACCAGCGGCGAAGGCGGCUUACUGGACCGUGACUGACGUUGAGGCUCGAAAGCGUGGGGAGCGAACAGGAUUAGAUACCCGAGUAGUC